RNAcentral lists this long non-coding RNA (471 nucleotides) under Brassica rapa (field mustard). RNAcentral describes it as "long non-coding RNA (BRAP_LNC005495)". The record is from RNAcentral. Lineage: Eukaryota; Viridiplantae; Streptophyta; Magnoliopsida; Brassicales; Brassicaceae.
GCAUACAAGUAGAACAAGAGAGCCUUUGCAUGAGUUUCUUGUCUUCGCACAACAUGUUAGACUUUGGUUUGCUGAAAAACUGCAGAACAAAUUAAACAAUCGACGUUAUAUAAAAUAGAGAUAUUGAAUAUUGAUUUAAUUACUCUCGCUUUGAUUUAUUGUAUUUAUAUCAAAUUUUUUUUUUUUGAUUAAAAAAGGGUUAAAUCCGGAUCUAUUAAAGACACAGACCUAACCCGAAAACAAUAGCCCAUAUCCGUGUGGCCAGCGGGGUUCGAACCAGGGUUCGCGGUAUAUCAAAUUAUUUCACAACUAGAAAAGCAACUUCUUUGUUUUAAAGAAACAUUUCUUACGAAUUAUCUUCUUUCUUUUUACUAAAUUUCUUACGAAUUAUCUCCGGCUAGAUAUUAAAACGGAGGCGCUGGGAGGAGCGGAUCUGACAUGGUGGAGGAAAGCGACGGAGCAGAGGACAGC